Molecule: ribosomal RNA, 745 nt
Filed under: uncultured Acidobacteriota bacterium
Lineage: Bacteria; Pseudomonadati; Acidobacteriota
Description: bacterial SSU rRNA
Rfam family: Bacterial small subunit ribosomal RNA
Source: RNAcentral
CCCUUCGGGGGACAAGUAGAGUGGCGCACGGGUGAGUAACACGUAGGUAAUCUACCUUCGGAUGGGGAAUAACAAUCGGAAACGGUUGCUAAUACCGCAUAAUGCAGCGGCACCUAAUGGUGACAGUUGUUAAAGCGGGGGAUCGAAAGACCUCGCGUCUGAAGAGGAGCCUGCGGCGGAUUAGCUAGUUGGUAAGGUAAUGGCUUACCAAGGCUACGAUCCGUAACCGGCCUGAGAGGGCGGUCGGUCACACUGACACUGACAUACGGGUCAGACUCCUACGGGAGGCAGCAGUCGGGAAUUUUGGGCAAUGGGCGAAAGCCUGACCCAGCAACGCCGCGUGAAGGAUGAAAUCCCUCGGGAUGUAAACUUCGCAAGAACAGGAAGAAUAAGUAGGGGACAAUACCCCCUAUGAUGACGGUACUGUUUGUAAGCUCCGGCUAACUCCGUGCCAGCAGCCGCGGUAAUACGGGGGGAGCAAGCGUUGUUCGGAUUUACUGGGCGUAAAGGGCGCGUAGGCGGCCAGCACAAGUCAGUUGUGAAAUCUCCGAGCUUAACUCGGAAAGGUCAACUGAUACUGUGCGGCUAGAGUGCAGAAGGGGCAACUGGAAUUCUCGGUGUAGCGGUGAAAUGCGUAGAUAUCGAGAGGAACACCUGCGGCGAAGGCGGGUUGCUGGGCUGACACUGACGCUGAGGCGCGAAAGCUAGGGGAGCGAACGGGAUUAGAUACCCCGGUAGUCCUAGC